Molecule: ribosomal RNA, 468 nt
Filed under: uncultured bacterium
Lineage: Bacteria
Description: partial 16S ribosomal RNA
Rfam family: Bacterial small subunit ribosomal RNA
Source: RNAcentral
GACGAACGCUGGCGGCGUGCUUAACACAUGCAAGUCGAACGGAAAGGCCCUGCUUGGGUGGGGUGCUCGAGGCGAGAACGGGAGUAUAACGCGUGUAUCACCUGCCUUUGACUGUGGUAAAACUUCAGGACACGGGGGAAUAUACCGGAUAGGAGCUCCCUGUGCAGGGGGGGGGUGGGAAAGUCUGGGCGGUGGGGGGGGGCCUCGGGGCUUAUGGGCUUGUUGGUGGGGUUGUGGCUUACCAGGGUUUUGGCGGGUAGCGGGCCUGAGGGGGUGACGGGCCAAAUUGGGACGGGGAACGGGCCCGGCCUCCUAGGGGAGGCAGCGGUGGGGAAUAUUGCACAAUGGGCGGAAGCCUAAUGCAGCAACGCCGCGUGCGGGAUGACGGCUUUCGGUUUGUAAACCGCUUCCGCCUGUGACGAGGUGUGAGUGACGGUAAUGGGUAAAGAAGCACCGGCUAACUACGUG